AUUUUUAGUCUUUUCAUGGCCUCUCAACCAAUUAUCCAUUAGACUUAAUGACCUUCUCCCCCAUUGCUUGGACCUUCCUUCUUUAUUCCAAAAAGAUCAAGAUCUUCAAGCAGUGCUUCAGCAAGUUCAGUGCUUAGCUGAUCUCCUCCAGCAGGACUAGGACGCAAAGUGCCAUAGUGAAGAUGCUUUGAAGCUAAUGGUCGAGCUUGAAUAGUGCACAAAGGCAUAAUAACAAAGCUCCAGAAAAGGACUAGGACCAAGAAAUUGGAUGGCUUAUUGAGUUUUGUAGCCAUUAAUAUAUAAUUAAGAAGAAAAUUUCUCUUUAGCUGAUGAAGAGAUAAAUAGAUGAACUAGUAUUUGUGGAAUUGUAGAGUUUGCAUGGUUUGGUAUUUAUAGGAAAAGAUGGUAAGCUAAUUUGACUAAAACUUGUGGAAAGAAAAGACUGGUCCAAAUACUUAUAGUAAUUGUGACUGUUAAGAAAUAAGCAGGAAAUAGGUAUCUAGAGAUUGGCAUUUGAAAAUUUUGUGGAAAUUUUUUAAUUUUUAUUUGGAAUUUGUUUUUAUUUGAAAAUUAUUUAAAAGACUAUAGAUUGGUAGGUUUAAAUCCAACAAGCACUAAUAUACGAGUGACUGACCAUUGAAUUUGUGGGUAAUUUUGAGUUGUGAGAAUUAAAGGGCAGAAGAGUAAUUCUUUCUCUUAGGAAAAUUGACCUUAAAACCAAACAUUUAUAUGUUUUGGUGAUUAUUCCAAUCUUUUAAUUUUGAUAAAUUAAUUCAAAAUUGAAAAACUUAUAUAGAUUUUAUCAAAUUAAAUUCUAAAAUGUAUGAUUUUGCUUGUAGGAUGAUGAUAUGUCAUUUUUUAUUAUUAAUGCGAGACCCAUUUGUCACAUGCCAAUGCAUAUGGAAUCAGAAUAGUUUGAAAUAGACUCUCCUAAUUCAGGAGAAGAAAAUGAAGAAUACAUAAAUUAAAUUUAGUCUAUGCAUACAACAUCAGAUUCUAAUCAGAUUAAUAGAAUAAUGAUACUAAAUCACAAGCAAGCGUAGAAGUUAAGCCUUAUAAUCCAAGGCCUUCCCCUGUGAACUCAUAAUAUAAGGACACAAAUUAUAAUUUCGUCCAGUAUGAUGGUUUCUCUAUUAUAGAAUGGAAUAUUGACGGAUUAUGUGAUUACCAGAUAAAAAAUGUCCUUAAUACAUGACUAUUUAUGCGACAGUUUCAAGAGUAAAAGGCAAUAAUAAUCAAACUGUUGCAAAAGCCUUAAUUGCAGGCUUUAUAAAACAACUUAAAGGAUAGUGGGACUUCUUCAUAUCAAAUGAAGGAAAAAUGCAGAUAUUUAACACAGUAAAACAAGAAGGCACUAAUAUAGUAUAAGAUUGCGUUAACACCCUAUUAUAUACAAUAGGAAUGCAUUUUGUUAGACCAGCCAGUAUGUAUAUGGAUCGGUCAUAAGAGCAAUUAAUGAAUUUAAAAUGCCUAGACUGAUCUCAUUUCAAAUGGUACAAGGAUACCUUUUUCGCCCUCACCUUUAUAUGAGAAGAUAGUCAAUAUGAUUUUUGGAAAGAAAAGUUCUUGAAUGGACUUCCAUCUCUUUUUGCUGAAAGAGUUAGAGAUCAAAUAAGGCAAAGCAUGAAGGUACGAUUCCCUACCAUAUAUACACCUAUGGAGAACUCGCAUUUGAGGUGGUCUCCAUAGGAGUAGCAUUAUGCAAUGAAAUAAAAAUUCAUAGACAUAUGCAAAAAGAAAGAAUUAAUGAGAGAAAGAUUUUAGGCAAUUUUUGUGAACAAAUAGGAUUUCAGCCCAUAAAUUUUCCUUAUAAAAUGAAAUUUCAGGGGAGAAGAAGGAACAAAUAUUAUAAACCCAAUAGGUUUAGAAAACCCAAAAAAGACAAAUCCUCAAAUCAAAAAAGGGAGCCCAAAAGAAGAAAAGGACUAAAAAUGGCAAAGCAAAGAAAACUAUAAUAUGCUAUAAGUGUGGUAAAGUAGGGCAUUACGCUAAUAAGUGUAAAGUACAGUAGAAAAUUCAGGCCUUAACCAUAGAUGAAGAUCUAAAAGAUACUUUAGCUAAAUUAUUCUUAAAUGAUACUGAUUCAGAAUAAGAGGACAUAGAGCUUAACGUGAUAGACUACACUUCUGAAGAAGAAAUAGAAAAGGAAGAUGAGCCUAGAGAAAAUUUGGAUUGUGAUGGUAAUUGAGAUUAUUACAAAUCAUUGUGUGCUUUAAAUGGUUUGUUAGUCCUCAUAAAAGAAGAAAAUCUAAUAUUGGAUCUAAUAGAUAAUAUAGAAGAUCUAGAAAACAAAAGAAAUAAAUUAUAAACCUAUAUUAAAAUAUAAAGGAAAAAGACAGAGGCAUCCAGUUCUAAGAACCCUCUAGAAGAGAAAUUAGAAGAAAAAUAGACUUCUUAUGAUUUGAAGGAGAUACUGGAUAGAGUUAAAAAUGCAAAGAAAGUAAGGGAACCUACUAUAGGAGAUUUAAAGGCAAAAUUAAAUUCAGUAAAACCUUAAUUACAAGGGUUAAAAGAGAGAGUGUUAAUUUUAGAACUACUCAAUGAAGAAUAAAAUCAAUUUGACCUUAGAAGGCCCGAAAAGAAUAUCUCAAGUGAAGACGAAACUAAUAGUAUCAACAAUAUUCACUAUGUUAAUUUGGCUGACAGAGUGAUACUCACAAGUGGCAUACUAAACUAACAAUAGUUGUCCACAAAGAAUAUGUGUUUAACAUAAUCGCGUUAAUAGAAUCAGGCGCAGAUUUGAAUUGCAUAAGUGAAGGAUUAGUCCCAUCCAGAUAUUUCUCCAAGACUAUAGAAGAGCUCAACACUGCAGAUGGGAGCAAAAUGGUAGUAAAGUACAAGCUGAACAAUACUGCUAUUUGUAAUAAGGGUAUCUGCUUCGAAAUUCCAUUUCUAAUGGUAAAAAGAUUAUCUCAUCCUGUUAUCUUUGGAAAUCCUUUCAUACAUAAAUUAUAUCCUAUUAAAGAGGUAUCAAAAGACAUAAUAAGUACUGAGAUAGAAGGAAAAGUAAUUACUUUUCACUUUGUAUCUCAGCCGAGAGUAAAAAAAAAUAGAUGUGCUUAAAAGCCAUUUUAAAAACAAAAACAAAUUUAUCAACUCCUUAAAAUAGGAAGUCUCUUUCAAAGUUAUAGAAGAAAUAAAUUAAUGAUCCAAAGAUUCAACAAAGAAUCAAGCUAAUUCAGGGACAAAUGCUUAAUAGCCUUUGUCCUGAAAGCCCCAAUGGUGUUUGAAAAAGGAAAAUGCAUGUGGUAAAUUUACCAUAUGAACCUAACUUUAAUGAAAAAAUAAUUCUCACAAAAGCCAGACCAAUAGCAAUGGGGACAAGACACUUGAAAAUAUGUAAAAAAGGAGAUUAUUGACUUAGAGAAGUCCAUAGAGCUGCCCUGCGUUUUAUGUGGAAAACGCAGCAGAGUUAGAAAUGGGAGUUCCUAGAUUAGUAAUUAAUUAUAAGCCUUUAAAUAAUUCCUUAAAAUGGAUCAGAUAUCCUUUGCCUAAAAAAAGAGAUCUAUUAAAUAGACUCUAUGAGACAACUAUCUUCUCAAAGUUCAACAUGAAAUCUGGAUAUUGACAGAUUCAGAUUGCAGAAGAAGAUAAGUAUAAAACAACAUUUAGAGUUCCAUUCAGACAUUAUGAAUGGAAUAUAAUGUCUUUUGGGCUAAAAAACGCCCUAUUAGAAUUUCAAAAAAUUAUGAAAGUUAUCUUUAAUACUUAUUCAGGAUUCACUAUAGUCUACAUAGACGAUGGCUUUGUAUUUCUAAGAUAAUUCAACAUUUUAAGCAUUUAAAUAUAUUUAUCAAAAUUGUUAAAAAUAAUGGAUCUGCUCGGAAGACUCAACUCUUUCAAACAAAAAUCAGAUUUUUAGGUCAUAAUAUAGAAAGGGGGACAAUUAUCCCCAUUGAUAGAGCAAUGGAAUUUGCUGGCAAAUUUCCUUAUGAAAUAAAAGAAAAAACUCAAUUGCAAAGAUUUUUAGGAAGUCUUAAUUAUGUGUCAUACUUCUAUAAAAAUUUGGCUCAGGAUGCAAAACCUUUAUUUCAAAGGUCGAAGAAAAAUCCCUCAGAAUGGUUCGAGGAACAUACACUGGCAGUAAGAAAAAUUAAAGAUAGAAUAAAAUCUCUCCCUUGUUUUGUUAUACCUCACCCUGAAGCCUUUAAAAUUGUUGAAACAGAUGCAUCAGAAAAAGGCUAUGGAGGAAGCCUUAAUUAGAAGUUCAAUACUAAAGAGUCAUUUUAAGAUUUACUAAUGGCAUUUGGGUUGGAUCUAGGGUUAAUUACUCUACAUUAAAAAAGAAAAUAUUAUCAAUAGUUUUAUGCGUUCAAAAAUUUGAGUAAGAUCUGCUAAAUCAUAAAUUUCUCAUAAGGAUAGAUUGCAAAAGUACAAAAGAAAUACUCUUAAAAGAUGUAAAAAAUAUUACCUCAAAAUAAAUUUUUGCUAGAUGGCAAGCAAUCUUAUUUGUUUAGAGAUUGAAUUCAUUAAAGGAGAAGCUAAAUCAUUGCCUGAUUUCUUAACUUGAGAAUUUCUUAACUUGAGAAUUUCUUACAGGAGAUAAGUUCAAAAGCUCUAGCAACUCCAUCAAAAAGAUUGCAUGAGAUAUCGUCUCCUCCACCUAAAAGUGUGGAUAAAUUCAGAAACUAUACAUAUAAAUAAGCAUCAAAGCUACAAAUAAUAAAGAGGUUAAUUAUCCAUAUAUACCUAUUAAUUAUUUCUUUCUAAAUACUGUUGACAGGAAGCGUGACAGCUUAAAACCUUACGAGGUUGCUAAUUUUUACAUAGAACACCAUUCUACAAGUCCUUAUUUGCCCAAGGCUUUUGACUAUUACCAAGCUAUUCUAGCAGAAACUGGAUCUGUAAUGUUCUCCCCCAUUGAAAUAUUAGCACAUGAAUGAGCUUUUAGUAAGUUUAUUAUUAAAAGAGUAAUAUCUAGUGAUGAAUGGGUAGAUUCUCUUUCUAAAAAAAAGAACUAAGCUACAGAAAGCCUAGAUACUAUAGUUAUUUUGAUUAUAUUCAGGCCUGGACAGGAGAUCUCUUAUAUGAGAAUAGACAAAGAAAAUUCAGUUGGUUCAUGCAAUUCCAACUGGAUAAAGAAAGCUGAGAUUUUUCUCCUUAGCACCAUGAUUAGUUUUUCAACUGGGAAUUAUUUCCUAUCACCUUACCUAAUAAGGUAAGAUUAAUAUAUGAACAAUUUACUGAAAUAAACAGGACCUUAAAGAACCUAAGACUAUUAUUUACAAUCCUCUACAAAAUACCUGAAUUGUUAGAUGAGACUAUAUUAUUAUCACCCAAAAAUAGAAAAAAUUUAAUGAAUUCUCAAUAGAAAGGAUACCCUAGCUAGCAAGGAGAAUCAUGAUUAAUGGUAGGAUAAAUAUGAAUUUUUUGAGGCUCCAUCAAUCUAUAGUAAUAAAGGAUUGAUUUGCUUGGCUAAAAAGCCAAAGUCAUCCAAAACUACUUCAUCUCCUACUAAUCUAUCAGAAUUCUUCAAAGAAUUAUUACAAUUUGUACCAAGAGAAGAAUUGCAAAAAUAAUUAUUUAAUCACUAGGAGAUAUGGAAGAAUCUGGCAGCUCAAAAGAAAAGGCAGAAUGCUCAAAAUCACAUUUUGACAGGAUGAAGGACAAUGACUCAGAAGAUAAGGAAAACAUGUCAGAACAACUAUUGAUGGAUAACUAGGACCCUUAUGAAUUAUGAAGGGUACUCAAAGAUUUCCUGAGCACUCCAUUAAGUGGUCCCUAAAAUGGUGACAAAAGAAAUGAUGCAAGCCAUGACGACUAAAAGAUUCUCUCCACCAAUAUAAAUAGCUAUGUAAUGUAAAUAAGUGUCAAGUUUUUCUUUCAGAGUAUUUUUUAGUGUGUUUGUUACAUUUCGUAAGUUCUUGUAAAGUGUUUGACGUGUGUUUGUACAAUUCCUACUAUCAAUAAAAUUUUCAAAUUUAUGGUUCUAAAGCGACUUGAAACUCAAAUAGAUGAAUUAGGUGAGAAAAUUUGGCAACUCCGAAUUGAUAUUGAGUGGAUUGCUAAAUAGGAAAACAUUCCAGUAAAAGAGUUAUUAGGAGAACCUUCUGGCAAGUUUGAUUACUAGGUAUACUAUUCUAAGCCUUCGUCUGCAGACAUUCCACUUUCUGAGAUCAAGCUAACUGGUUGAAGAUUGCACCUAGAUGAUCAAGACGAAACUGUAAGAGUUUUAUGAAUGUAUGUCUAGUUUUAUUAAUGAUGCUAUAUAAAAACUACUUUUAAUAGAUCUUACUAGUAAGCAAGAAGUAUUAGUUUUUAAAUGAGAAUUUGUAAGUGAAGGGUCUAAAUUAUUUGAGAAUCAUCUAGAAAUCCAUAAUCUGUAACAACCCAGAAAACCGGACCGCUAUUGGCGCUAGGAUCCAAAUCGACUUAAGGUCGCUGGGACCCGUAGCAAGCCUACUACACAUCCUGUAUAUCUGAUAAAAUCCCAUAUAUGAUCAUACAUUUUCGUAAAAACUUUAAACUUUCACAUAUACCAAGCUUGACCUGUGCAUGCACUAUACUGUAAACAUAAAACCCCAUACUAAAGCCCUCAUCAAAUGCUCUAGUGGGUCAACAUAUCAUACAUCAAGCUUGGUUCAUCAUUUCUUAUCAUUAAAACAUUUCAUAAAAUCAUGUACAACUGGGAUUCACCACAAACAUUAGGGCCAAGUACAAUACUAAUCCUCAUUACAUUACUUUACAUUUCAUUACAUUACAUGUCCACUAAAACUCUAUUACAUAACAUAGCCAUAACUCUGCUGGCUUUCCCAUAGCUACCUGUACUCCUGCAAACCUGGGGGUUAGGGGAGAGGGGUGAGCUACAAUAGCCCAGUGAGCAGAACUAUAAAAACAUUUAAAUAAACAUAUGCCAUUAUGAAAUGUGUCACAUUACAAGUAAAUCACAUCACGGAUGGACUGACCCAAAAAUCCCUCUACUCUGUGCCUGGCUCUCGAUGGAGCUCCUCAGGACUUCUGUUACAUACAUAAGCUCUGUGCUCGGCCCUCGGUGGGGCUCCUCAGGACUUCUGUUACAUAGCAUAAAAUCUAGAGGGCUAAUGGGUCGUCCUAUUGUCCAUCCACACCCAGAAUGAAUAAUGCAAUGCGGCAUAUUCGUGGAUUCUAAUGCAAACAACCUAUUACAUAUCAUGAUGCAUGAACAUGCUUAAAACAUUUGCUUUCUGGAAAUAAAGGAUUAGUUUAGUUCCACUCACCUCUGGCUGACUCUAGACUAACUCUGAAGCAGCUAUCUCACUGCUGAUAAUCUCGGUUCCUCAGGUCCGAUCCUACACAGGUGGACUCAAAUGAGGGACCAAACAUACUCUAACAUGACUCUAAACAUCUCCCAAAAAAACCCCCUAAAACAUCUUAAAACAUGCAUUGAAAACAUGCAAAGGAAGGCUGGACAGGGCACUUUCGGCGGCAGGUUCGGCGGCCGAAAGUCCUUCCAGAGCCGAAAGUCAGGCACUUUCGGGGGCAGGGUUCAGCGGCCGAAAGUCCUUUCAGAGCCGAAAGUCCUUCCAGAGCCGAAAGUCACCCACUUUCGGGGGCAGGUUCGGCGGCCGAAACUCCCCUCUAGAGCUGAAAGUCCAAACUUUCGGGGGCGAGUUUAGGCGGCCUAAAGCUGCCUCUAGGCAGGUUCGGCGGCCGAACAUGGUUUCGGCGGCCGAACCUGGGCUUUCCCAAAGGGCAGAACUCGAUUUUGCCUUGCAUUUCCAGCCAUCCACAACACCCCAACAUGCAUCCAACUAUACUAAAACAUGCAUAUUCACAUAUUAAGCAUAUAGGGGCAAAAAACUAGCCUAUACCCCAACAAACAUCACAUAUAGCAUACAUUUAUCACAAAGGGUACAUAAACCCUAACAUUUUUCAUUUACUCUAUACAUGCAUCAAACACCCAUACAACCCCUUAAAACUUACUUAAAACAUCAUAAAAGACGUGGAUCUACACUUACCUUUUGAAGAUCGAGAGGAGAUAUGAUCCAAGCUCAGAGAUAUGGAGGAACGAGCUCCGGGGGUCUCCAAGCUUCCAAACUUCGAUCUUUAGCUCAAAAUCUUCCAAAAACCAAGUAAAAACUCAUUAAAACUUGAAAGAUUUGAAGGAAAACACAAAAUCGACCAAAGGAAGGCGAAAUCUCACCUAUGCCAGAAAAUAGAGAGAGAAAACUCGCCCGUUUUCGGACAAGGGGCCCUUUAUAGGUGGCUGGCCAGACCACCUUCGGGGGCCAAAGGUGCCUCCGCAAGAGGCCAAUGUUCGGCGGCUGAACAUGAGGUUUGGCGGCCGAACCUGGCAUUUUCCCCCUUGGUCUUUUCUUUCAAAACUCAAAUUCUUUCUUCGUAAAAACCAUAAAAGCAUGUAAAAACAUUUUAGAAAACCUUUACUUUACCCUUCUAGAAGGCUCCGACAUCCUAGAAUUCCGGAUUCCAACGGAGAUUCCGCCGGAAAGUAGGAAUUCUGAUGCCGGAGUCUAGCCGGGUGUUACAUAAUCAGUAUUGUGAUUGUAGAGAGCAUUAGAGAACUUUAGCUUUUUUAAUAUUAUUAUUAGGUUCUUAGAUAAUUUAAUUAGCAAUAAUAAUUUUUAAUGAGUAUUAUGGAGAAGUUUUAUCCACAUAGUCUAGUGAAACCCAAGUCGCGUAUUCAUGGUGAGCGUAGCAGUGAAAUUGCUUGAAGACUUUAGGAGUAAAUCGUUGACAGUGAUAUAGAUUUAUGAAUAAAUUAUUCGAAAACUUUUCUAGUCUCUCUAGGAAUACUAGUUCAAGAGGAAGUACUACUCAUUGAGCUUAUCUACAAAUUACCAUCUAUUUUUGCUAAUCUCAUCUACAAAUCAAACUCCAACUUUGUUUUGAAAUCAGAUUAUGUUGUAAAAAUGGUGGAACAAGCAACACCUGUCCAUGAAGGGUUCUAGUCCUUGAGCUUAUUUUCUAAAGAGCGCAUAGAGAAACAUCAAGAAAAAUACAUAGUCCUUCACGUGGGAAUGGUACAAGUCGCAUUAAAAUCUACAACUAGGCUAGGUUUAAAUAUCUCAGCCAUAUAUUGUGUCAGAGAUAAAAGGCAUAAUAAGUUUAAUGACUCUUUAUUAGGAGUUAUAAAAUCUUCUUUAUGUGAUGGACCUAUCUAUUUCUCUUAUUAUCCAAAUGAUAGCGGUUGUCGAAGCCGUAAAAAAUAAACCUAUUAUCAAUCAACAAAUAAAUUUGCAGAUAGUGGCAAUAGGGUCGAACCACAGGGAUUUGACACCAAAUAUCUUCCUAAUAAUGACUAAGGCAAGUAAAUAGCAAAAAUAAAAAGGGGGUUUUGUUUUGAAGAUGUACUAAAGCUAAUUAACAAUAGAAAGCAAAUAAUUUAAAGAUGAGUAAAUCAAUAAGAGAAAAGCUUCUAGUUGAAGUAUGGAUCUAUUUCAGACUGUUUAGAAUUGAUCAUUGAUUCUUUAACACUCCUAUUUAUUUCAAUAAAUUAGUUUAGGAUGUGGAAGACGCUUCUCACAAUCCAAAUUCCUCCUUAGUUCUAGUUUGAUUAGGAAAUGUUCGCUAAUCAAACACUAGUUAACAAGUUGCCAAGGAACGUCCUUGGGGCUUUUAGCAUCGAACAACUGUUAACUGCAUUAAGACUUAGAGAAACCUAAUUCUAACCUUGCCAACCGCGUGGUCAAGUUUAGAUUAUGCAACUUGAUUAAAUGUGUGUUUAAAUAAUCUAAGCAAUUACAGACCUAAAUUAUUCAAACAAUUGUUACUCAAGCAAUUAAAAGCAAUAGGCCUAAAUUGAUUCUAAAAGCAAAGCAACAAUUAUAGAAAGAUCAAAUUGCAUAAAUAUUGAAAAUAAAUAGAAGUUUAACAAUGGAGAUUUAAAUCUCCCAAUUCAUCACAAAUAUGAAUUUUCCAACUUCAACUAGAAAGGAAUGGAUUUAGCCACUCAUGGUGGACAAAAUACACAAAAGAAAAGAAGAAAGGAAGAAGGAGACAAGCUUGCUGUGCUUUCUGCAGAAUUUCUGCUGUGGAGAGAAGAUGUCUUUGCUGGUUUGGGCUGCCUCUUUUUAUAGGUGAGGAAUCCCAAUCCAAUUCGGUUUUGGAAUCCUAAAUUGGAUUGGUCUUUGUCUUUGAUCUCUUCUUUAAUUGUGAAUAAAUCUUCUUCUUGAGGAGGUCUAUCUUGAGAGUGACUCUUUGAGAUGCCCUAGGACUGAUCUUGAAGUGUUUGAGAGGGGUUAGGACUUCUUUAUUUUAAAUCUUGAAUUUCUGCACUUUCCCACUUCUGCUGUCAGUGUGAUUGAGGCGGUGAUUUGGGCAGAUCGCUGCCCCAAUCGUUUUCUGUGAGUCAGUCCAGUUUUUAGCUUUCUGUCUCUGCUUCCUCCGCUUGAUUUGGGCAGUGAUUUGGGCAAAUCGUCAUGCCCAAAUCAUUUCUGCGUGUUGCCUCUGGGUUUCUGUUCCUGCGGGUGACUUGGCCAAUUCAUUGACCCAAUCAGUCUCCUGUGAGAUAGUUCAGUUUUCUGCUUUAGCUUGAUCUGGGCAGUGAUUUGGCCAAGUUGCUGACCCAAUCACUUUUCUUGUCAUUUUCUGCACUUUUUCUCCAGUUUUCCAAUUUCUUCCUUUUAUACAAAAACAUAACAAAAACAUAAAUUAAGCUGAAAAAUGUGUAAAUAAGCAAUAAUAAAGAUAAUAAAAAUGUGGCUAAUUUAUGUUCGAUCACCAAACCUCACUCUGUUUUUGAUAGAUCUACACAUAAUGAAGGCAUUGUCAUUAGAUAUCAAAACCUCUAGUUAUGAUAUGAUGUCUGGAUCUGAAAAUAUAAUCUUAAUUUAUAAGAUUCAUUAUAAGGCAAUGAACAUGGUAGCACCUAAUUUAGGGGAAGAAGCAACAAUGCUGACUACUCCUAGGGGAACCACUACCUUAUUUGUGACGAAUAUGUCUAGCAGAAAUCUUAUGGUUCCAAAGUCUAUAAAGUGGGAUCAAGUUAAUCUACCUAAAAAUUGAUUUCUAGAGGAAGCAAUACCUCCUAAAAAGGAAGAUUCUACUUCGCUGCAGUCUAUAAUUGAAACCAAAGAAGGAAUAGUAGCAAUCUCUUUUGCUAGAAAUAGGAGCAUUAUAGAUGCGAGGAGAUUAUUUUCAGGAACAUCCAUAGCUUCUGAACCUUUAUCACCUAGAUCUUCAAUAUCUUCAUUUGAGCCUCUUAAUCAAAGCAAUUCGAUAGGUGGAAUACAUAGGACAGAAGAAAAAAUUACUCAAUUAAUUUAUUAAAAAGAAAGGCCAGAAAGCCCAAAAAGCCCUACUCCUUCAGAUAUGGGCUAUGAUAAAGAAAGUGUUGAUUCUAGAGCAUUUAAAAUAAAGGUAUUGGAAAUAAAAGAAACACCUUUUAACAAAGGAUUAUGUCUUAAUUUUUCUGAGGAUGAACAAAAGCUUUGACUAAAGAUUAGAAGUCUAUAAGCAAAAGGAAGGGACUAAAAUUUUUCCUGAAUUUUUAAAAUAUUGUCUUUCCUUAAAAGGAAGAAUGUUACCUGAUUUUGAAGAUAUUGUUUUCCUCAACACCCUUGAAUCGGCAUAUAAGAAUUUUAUUACGAGCAAGGGAAAAUAGUAAAAGGUGUGUGUCCUCCUCUCACUAAUGUCUCCUAUAAAAUAUAGAAUUCAUCAUAUGUUGAAUGCACUCCUUUUGCUCAAGAAGGAAAAGGCAGAUCAAUAGUUCAGCAACAAAACUUUACAAACCUAAGUCUCUAUACUAUCGGUCAACAACUUAGUAGAGUUGAAAGCCAAGUCUCAAAGCUUAAAACAACGACCGACUACAUUCCUAAAAUGGAAAAAGGAGAAAAUUCUAGUCUUAAUCUAGAAAAGAAAGUCCUAUUUAAACCCAUGGAGUCGGAGAAUCUAGACUUAGAACUAGCCAGAGAAGAUCAUUUCGAGAUAAUUGAUGAGUUAACUAAAAGACUAGCAGAAUUGGGAAUAGGAGGAGAUUCAAAAAAGAAAUCUAUUGUUCCAUUAACUAUAGAACAAGAAUAGUCUAAAAUAGACUCUCGUAAUUUAGGAGAAGAAAAUGAAGAAUAAAUAAAUCAAAUAGAAUCUAUGCUUAUAACAUCAUUCAAUUUAGAUUAAUAGGAUAACAUAUCCUAAACAACAAAUAACCAUAGAAGUUAAGCCUUAUUAUCCAAGGCCUUCCCCUGUGAAAUUACAAUGUGAGGACAUGAAUUAUAACUUCGUCUAGAAUGAUGGUUCCUCUAUUGUAGAAUGGAAUACUGAUGGAUUAUCUGAUUACCAUAUUAAAAAUGUCCUUCAAUACAUGACUAUGUAUGCGACAGCCUCAAGAGCAAAAGGCAAUAAUGAUCCAACUGUUGUAAAAGUCUUAAUUGCCGGCUUUAUAGGACAACUUAAAGGAUAGUGGGACUUCUCCAUAUCAAACGAAGGAAAAAUGCAGAUAUUUAACGCUGUAAAACAAGAAAGCACUAAUAUAGGGCAACGCUGCGUUAACACUCUAUUAUAUACUAUAGGCAUUCUUUUUAUUGGACCAGCUAGUAUGUAUAUGGAUCGAUCACAACAGCAAUUAAUAAAUUUAUAAUGCCCAGACUUGUCUCAUUUCAAAUGGUAUAAGGAUACCUUUUUCUCCUUAAUCUUUACCAGAGAAGAUAAUCAACAUAAUUUGUGAAAAUAAAAGUUCUUGGCUAGAUUUUAAUCUCUUUUUGCUUAAAAAAGAGUUAGAGAUCAAACAAUGGCAAACCAUGAAGGUAUGAUUCUCUACCAUAUAUACACCUAUGGAGAACUCACACUUGAGGUGGUCUCCGUAGGAGUAGAAUUAUGCAAUGGAUUAAAAAUUCAUAGGCAUAUGCAAAAGGAAAGAAUUAAUGGGAGAAAGAUAUUAGGCAAUUUUUGUGAACAAAGAGGAUUUCAGUCCAUAAAUUUUCCUAAUAAAAGGAUAUUUUAGGGGGGAAGAAGGAAAAAAAUAUUAUAAACCUACUAGGUUUAGAAAUUCCAAAGAAGAAAAAUCCUUAUAUCAAAAAGAGGAGUCCAAAAGAAGAAAACGCCCUAAAAAUGGCAAAGCAAAGAAAACUAUAGUAUACUAUAAGUGUGGCAAGGUAGGCAUUAUGCUAAUAAAUGUAAAGUCAAGCAGCAAAUUCAGGCCUUAACCAUAGACAAAGAUCUAUAAGAUACUUUAGCUAAAUUAUUCUUAAAUGAUACUGAUUGAAAAUAAGAGGAUAUAUAGCUUAAUGUGAUAGACUACACUUCUGAAGAAGAAACCGAAAAGGAAGAUGAGCCUGGAGAAAAUUGGAAUUGUGAUGGUAAUUGUGAUUAUUACAAAUCACUGUGUGCAUUAAAUGGUUUGUUAGUGCUCACAAAAGAAGAAAAUCUGAUAUUAGAUCUAAUAGAUAAUAUAAAAGAUCUAGAAAAGAAAAGAAAUAAAUUAGAAACCUAUAUUAAAAUAUAUAGGAAAAAUACAGAGGCAUCCAGUUCUAAGAACCCUCUAGAACAAAAAUUAGAAGAAAAAGGGACUCCUUAUGAUUCGAAGGAGAUACUGGAUAGAGUUAAAAAUGCAAAGAAAGUAAGGGAACCUACUAUAGGAGAUUUAAAGGCAAAAUUAAAUUUCGUAAAACCUUAAUUACAAGGGUUAAAAGAGAAGUGGUAAUUUUAGAACUACUCAACAAAGAAUAAAAGCAAUUUGACCUUAGAAGGCCCGAAAAGAAUAUCUCAAGUGAAGACGAAACUAAUAGUAUCAACAAUAUUCACUAUGUUAAUUUGGUUGACAGAGUGAUACUCACAAAUGGCAUACUAAACUGACAGUAGCUGUCCACAAAGAAUAUGUGUUUAACAUAAUCGCGUUAAUAGAAUCAGGCGCAGAUUUGAAUUGCACAAGUGAAGGAUUAGUCCCAUCCAGAUAUUUCUCCAAGACUAUGAAAGAGCUCAACACUGCAGAUGGGAGCAAAAUGGUGGUAAAGUACAAGCUGAACAACACUACCAUUUGUAAUAAAGGUAUCUGUUUUGAAAUUCCUUUCCUAAUGGUAAAAAGAUUAUCUCAUCCUGUUAUUUUAGGAAAUCCUUUCUUACAUAUGUUAUAUCCGAUUAAAGAGGUAUCAAAAGAAAGAAUAAGUACUAAGAUAGAAGGAAAAGUAAUUACUUUUCACUUUGUAUCUCAGUCAAGAGUAAAAGAAAUAGAUGUGUUUUAAAGUCAUAUUAAAAACAAAAAUAAAUUUAUCAACUCCUUAAAACAUGCAGUCUCUUUCAAAGUUAUAGAAGAACAGAAAUUAAUGAUCCAAAGAUUCAACAAAGAAUCAAGAUAAUUUAAGAAGAAAUGCUAAAUAGCAUUUGUGCUAAAAGCCCCAAUGCUUUUGAGAAAGAAAAAUACAUGUGGUAAAUUUACCAAAUGAACCUGACUCUAAUGAAAAAAUGAUUCCCACAAAAGCUAGACCAAUAGCAAUAGGGCCAAGACACUUGGAAAUAUUUAAAAAGGAGAUUACUGAUUUAGAGAAGAAAAGGCUUAUUAGAAAAAGUAGAAGCCCAUAGAGUUGCUCCGCAUUUUAUGCGGAAAACGCAAUUGAGUUAGAAAGAGGAGUUUCUAAAUUAGUAAUUAAUUACAAGCCUUUAAAUGAGCCAUUAAGAUGGAUCAUAUAUCCUUUGCCUACUAAAAGAGAUCUAUUAAAUAGACUCUAUGAGGCAACUAUCUUCUCAAAAUUCGAUAUGAAAACUGGAUAUUGACAAAUUCAGAAACAACAUUUAUAGUUCCAUUUGAAUAUUAUGAAUAGAAUACAAUGCCGUUUGGGCUAAAAAAAUGACUCAUUAGAAUUUCAAAAAAUUAUGAAUGAUAUUUUUAAUGAUUAUUCAGCAUUCACUAUAGUCUACAUAGACGAUGUCUUAGUAUUUUUUAAGACAAUAUAUCUGCAUUUUAAGAAUUUAAAUAUAUUUAUCAAAAUUGUUAAAAACAAUGGAUUAGCGGUCUCUGCUCAGAAGAUUAAACUCUUCCAAACAAAAAUCAGAUUUUUGGGUCACAAUAUAGAAAGGGGGACAAUUAUCCCUAUUGAUAGAGUAAUAGAAUUUGCUGACAAAUUUCCUAAUGAAAUAAAAGAAAAAAUUCAGUUACAAAGAUUUUUAGGAAGUCUUAAAAAUUUUGGCCAGGAUGCAAAACCUUUAUUUCAAAGGUUGAAGAAAAAUCCCCCAGAAUGGUCCGAGGAACAUACAUUGACAGUAAGAAAAAUUAAAGAUAGAAUAAAAUCUCUCUCUUGUCUUGCUAUACUUCACCCUGAAUCCUUUAAAGUUGUUGAAACAAAUGCAUCAGAAAAGGGCUAUCGAAGAAUCCUUAAGCACAAGAUCAAUAAUAAAGAGUCAUUACUAAGAUUUACUAGAGGCGUUUAGGCUGGACCUAGGGUUAAUUGCUUCACGGUAAAAAAGAAAAUAUUAUCAAUAGUUCUAUACGUCCAAAAAUUUGAGUCAGAUGUGUUAAAUCAGAAAUUUCUUGUAAUGAUAGAUUGUAAAAGUGCGAAAGAAAUACUCUUAAAAGAUGUAAAAAAUAUUACCUCAAAAUAAAUUUUUUCUAGAUAGUAAACGAUCUUAUCUGUGUUUGAUUUUGAGAUUGAAUUCAUUAAAGGAGAAGCCAACUUAUUGGCUGAUUUCUUAACUUGAGAAUUUUAGGAGAUGAGUUCAAAAGCUCCAGCAACUCCGUCAAAAAGAUCGUAGAUCGUAUGAGAUAUCGUCUCCUCUAACUAAAAGUAUGGAUAAAUUAAGAGAAGAUGCUUAUAAAAUAAGCAUCGAAACUACAAAUAAUAAAGAGGUUAAUUACCUAUAUAUACCUAUUAGUUAUUUCUUCCUAAAUACUAUUGGCAGGAAGCAUGAAGGCAUAAAGUCUCACGAGGUUGCUAAUUUUAACACAGAGCAUCAUUCUACAAGUCCUUAUUUGCCUAAGACUUUUAAUUAUUACCAAGCUAUUCUAGUAGACAUUGGAUCUGUAGUAUUCUCCCCCGCUAAAAGAUCAGCACAUGAAUGAUCUUUUAGUAACUUUAUUAUUAAAAGAGUAAUAUCUAGUGAUGAAUGGAGAGACUCUCUUUUUAAACAAAGAGAAGUAAGCUACGGAAAGCUUAGAUACUAUAGUUAUUUUGAUUAUAUUCAAACUUUGACAGGAGCUCUCUUAUAUGAAAACAGACAAAAAAAAUUCAGUUGGUUUAUGCAAUUCCAACUGGAUAAAGAAAACUAGGAAUUUUCCUCUUCCACGAUUGGUUUUUCAACUGGAGAUUAUUUUCUAUCACCCUACAUAAUAAGGAAAGAUCAAUAUAUGAACAAUUUGCUGAAACAAACAGGACCUUAAAGGAUCUAAGACUAUUAUUUACAAUCCUCUUUAAAAUACCUUGGAUUGUCGGAUGGGACUAUAUUAUUACCACCAAAAAACAAAAAAAAAAUUAAUAAAUUCUCAAUAGAAAGGAUGUCUUGGCUAACAAGGAGAAUCAUGAUUAAACGGUGGGAUAAAUAUGAAUUUUUGAAGCCCCAUCAGCCUAUAGUAAUAAAGGAUUAAUUCGCUUAGCUAAAAACGCAAAUUCAUCUAAAACUACUUUAUCUCCUACUAAUCUAUCAGAAUUCUUCAAAGACUUAUUACAGUCUGCACCAAGAGAAAAAUUGAAGAAAUAAUUAUUUAAUAUACUAGGAUAUAUGGAAGAAUCUACCAGCUUAAAAGAAAAGACAAAAUGCUCAAAAUCACGUUUUGACAGGAUGAAGGACAGUGACUCAAAAGACGAGGACAACAUGUCAGAACAAUUAUUGAUGGACGGUGACUCAAAAGACGAGAAAAACAUGUCAAAACAAUUAUUGAUGGACAAUCAGGAUGCUUAUGAAUUAGGAGGAGCAUUAAAAGAUUCCCUGAGCACUCCACUAAGUGGUCCCUAAAAUAGUAACAAAAGAAUAGAUGUAAGUCAUGACGACUAAAAGACUUCUCCAUUAAUAUAAAUAGCUAUGCGAUAUAAAUAAAUGUCAAGUUUUUCUUUCAGAGUGUUUUUGAAUGUGUUUGUUACAUUUCGUGAGUUCUUCUAAAGUAUUUCAAGUGUAUCUGUACAAUUCCUACUAUUAAUAAAAUUUUCAAAUUUAUGGUUCUAAAGCAACUUGAAACUUAAAUAGAUGAAUUAGAUGAGAAAAUUGGACAACUCCGAAUUGAUAUUGAUCGGAUUGCUAAACAGGAAAACAUUUUAGUAAAAGAUUUACUGGAAAAAUCUUCUGGCAAGUUUGAUUACGGAGUAUAAUAUUCCAAGCCAUCAUCUAUAGACAUCCCACCUUCUAAGAUCAAGUCAACUGGUUGGAGAUUCCACCCAGACAACCAAGAUGAAACUGUAAAAUUUUUAUUAAUAUAUAUUUAUUUUUAUUAAUGAUGUUGUAUAAAAACUACUUUUAAUAAAUCUUAUUAGUAAGUAAAAAGUAUUAGUUUUUAAACGAGAAUUAAUAAGUGAAGGAUUUGAAUUAUUUGAGAAUUAUUUAAAAUCUCAUAAUCAGUAUUGUGAUGGUAGAGAGUAUCAUAGAAUUUUACUUUUGUUUAAUAUUAUUGGUAAGUUUUUAGAUAAUUUAAUUAAGAAUAAUUUGGAGGUUUAAAUUUAGAUCUCCAAUCUCCCACUACUUAAAAGAAAAUGUGAGGUUUAAAAAUUUUAAAUGUUUCUAAAUUUACUGUAUUAAGCUAAGCCAAACAAUUUUUAAGUUGGCCAUCUCUUUAUUUUACCCAUAAACUGAUAAAAAAAAUCCAUAAAUUUUUUUUAUGUAAAUAUGAAAGUUAGAAGAGAGCUAAAUCAAUUUUGUCUCAAAAAAGGAAAAGGAAAAAUCUUCUCCGUAAUAAAGUAUGGCUGCUUCAUUCUUCACAACGGGAAUAGUUGUAAUUAUGAUAAUUAUUUAUUUAAGAAAUAUUAUGAAAUACGAAUAUAUAUUAUGCUCAAAUUUUCUUGCUCUUGGAAAAAUUACAUUUAUUUAGAGCAUUGAAAUUCUGAAGUUUCAUUUGACCAGCAAGCUAUGUAUAGCCAAAUCAAACAAUUAUUUCAAAGAAAAAACACACCAAACUUUCGACAUAUAUAUUUAAAACAAUAAUAGCCAUAAAGAAGAUCAAAUUUAUAUCUAAAUUUAUUUUUGAAAUAUUAUUUAAAAGUCCAAUAAGACUAAAUAAUGUCAAAUAAAUUAGGAGAUUAUAACUCAUAAUCUCAAAUCUAGAUAAGUGAUGAUAUUUUUUAGCUUUUUAAUAAUAGUUUAAGUAUAAAUUUAAAUCGAAAAAUAAAAUUUGAUAUUUUUAGUCUUUUCAUAUUUGAAAGGCAAUUUUAGCCUCUCAACCAAUUUUUCCAUUAGACUUAAUGACCUUCUCCCCCAUCGCUUGGACCUUCCUUCUUUAUUCCAAAAAGAUCAAGAUCUUCAAGCAGUGCUUCAGCAAGUUCAGUGCUUAGCUGAUCUCCUCCAGCAGGACUAGGACGCAAAGUGCCAUAGUGAAGAUGCUUUGGAGCUAAUGGUCGAGCUUGAAUAGUGCACAAAGGCAUAAUAACAAAGCUCCAGAAAAGGACUAGGACCAAGAAAUUGGAUGGCUUAUUGAGUUUUGUAGCCAUUAAUAUAUAAUUAUGAAGAAAAUUUCUCUUUAGCUGAUGAAGAGAUAAAUAGAUGAACU
Molecule: long non-coding RNA, 18553 nt
Filed under: Manihot esculenta (cassava)
Lineage: Eukaryota; Viridiplantae; Streptophyta; Magnoliopsida; Malpighiales; Euphorbiaceae
Description: long non-coding RNA (MESC_LNC011639)
Source: RNAcentral